Molecule: ribosomal RNA, 564 nt
Filed under: uncultured bacterium
Lineage: Bacteria
Description: partial 16S ribosomal RNA
Rfam family: Bacterial small subunit ribosomal RNA
Source: RNAcentral
UGGGGAAUUUUGGACAAUGGGGGAAACCCUGAUCCAGCCAUCCCGCGUGUGCGAUGAAGGCCUUCGGGUUGUAAAGCACUUUUGGCAGGAAAGAAACGUCGCGGGUUAAUACCCCGCGAAACUGACGGUACCUGCAGAAUAAGCACCGGCUAACUACGUGCCAGCAGCCGCGGUAAUACGUAGGGUGCAAGCGUUAAUCGGAAUUACUGGGCGUAAAGCGUGCGCAGGCGGUUCGGAAAGAAAGAUGUGAAAUCCCAGAGCUUAACUUUGGAACUGCAUUUUUAACUACCGGGCUAGAGUGUGUCAGAGGGAGGUGGAAUUCCGCGUGUAGCAGUGAAAUGCGUAGAUAUGCGGAGGAACACCGAUGGCGAAGGCAGCCUCCUGGGAUAACACUGACGCUCAUGCACGAAAGCGUGGGGAGCAAACAGGAUUAGAUACCCUGGUAGUCCACGCCCUAAACGAUGUCAACUAGCUGUUGGGGCCUUCGGGCCUUGGUAGCGCAGCUAACGCGUGAAGUUGACCGCCUGGGGAGUACGGUCGCAAGAUUAAAACUUAAAUGAAUUG